CGCGGUUGUUGCUGCUGGUCACUCUAAACACAAUUACUUGUCAAAUGUGUUCUUACAGCUCAGCUAACCCUAACGAUCAUAAACGAUCGAGUGAACAAAGGGUGAAGACACGAGAUCGUCUCUUGAUUGAUUCAAGUCUUAUAUAAAACAUUAUUAAAUUAAUUGAAAUUUAUCCAUAUUAUUAUUGGUUCGAGACCAAAACGCCGAGCGUAAUCAAACACUGAAAAUUGUAAGUGGAAUAUUAAUUUAUUGUACAUUUAAUCAUACUGAUCACAAUAUAUCGCACAGUUGAAGCUGAUUAAUACAUAACCAAAAACAACAUCUUUAAUCUGCUAUCGAAACUCAGUGCGUUUGCACUCGUUCGACGUAACAAUCUUCAAAAUUUUCAUUUAACCGUUUCGGUCACUUGCGAAGCAGGAUGAGCAAACAACAAAAAACCGGUGAUCGUACAUCAAAUACCAACGAUGAUGAAUUUAUAAAUCAGAACUCUGCAUCUGAUUCAAAAUCAGAUGAUCCAGCUAUUGAUUGGGACGAGUCGUGUGUAAAUAUAACACCCUUGCAAAUUAAGUUGCAUCUGGACCAUCUGCAUGAAAUUAAACGCAUCCGCAUGAAAGCUAUUGAUGAGCGUGAGGCUUUAGAGCUAUCAAUGGCUAAUGAGGAAUAUAAAAUAAAGAAAGCGCAGCUACAUUUUUCGCUGAAAGUGAGAUGUCCUGAAGAAAAGGAGGAUAUUUGUGAGUUGAACCUUUCUGACACAUCACUGCUACCAGAACCAUUUGAAUAUGCUUCUAGUAAUGAAGAGGACACUUCGUUUCAGCAACAGAAUAAUCCACUAACUCCUCAGCAGAUCGCAUCUCGGCAAGUACUUACAACAGAUUUGCCUUUGUUCAGCGGAAACCCAGAAGAUUGGCCAUUGUUUUAUAGUCAAUACAAAAUUUCUACGGAAGCUUGCGGUUAUACGAAUGCUGAAAAUUUAGUUCGUUUACAACGCUCUUUAGGAGGAAAAGCUUUGGAGUAUGUUCGCAGUCGACUUUUGCUACCGGAACUGGUUCCUCGUGUGAUGGAAACACUUAAAAUGUUUUUUGGGCGUCCAGUGUUAAUCGUGAACACAUUGUUGAAUAAAGUGCGCGGAACAGCCUCCCCAACAACAGAGAAUUUGCAAAGUCUUAUUAAUUUUGGGAUGGAAAUACAAAACUUAUGCGACCACCUUAUAGCAAUGGAUCAGAAGGACCAUCUCUCGAACCCAACACUUUUGCAAGAGCUCGAAGAAAAGCUUCCAGGGCAAAUUAGGCUUGAAUGGGCUCGAUACAAACAAAGGAGUCAAUCUGCAUCACUAAUUUCGCUGAACAAUUAUAUGCAAUCUUUAGUGAAAUCGGCUUGCCAAGUUACACACAUUGAAUGUAUUCAAAAUACAGAAAGUCACAAUUUUUACGACGAUAGUAAUGACAAUGAGCUGAAUAUCCCAGUAUCGUCCAGUGAGACAAUAAGAAACUGUUUGAUUUGUCGUGGGAAUCAUCGUGUUGCAGAUUGUGAUACGUUCAAAUCUUUCGAAGUCGAACACCGUUGGAAAUUGAUUGGAGAUCGGAAACUGUGUAGAAGCUGCCUAAACCAACAUAACAGCAGAAUGUGCAGGUUCACACGGCGAUGCGGAAUAGAGAGAUGUGAGCUGUUACACCAUCCCUUGCUCCACCAGUUACAAAGAGCUUCCAACUCCCGCGGUAAUGAAUAAACUGUAACACAUCUUUAUCACGUUGUAUUACGGGGGUGGGGAUGUUACCGCGGUUGUUGCUGCUGGUCACUCUAAACACAAUUACUUGUCAAAUGUGUUCUUACAGCUCAGCUAACCCUAACGAUCAUAAACGAUCGAGUGAACAAAGGGUGAAGACACGAGAUCUCUUGAUUGAUCCAAGUCUUAUAUAAAACAUUAUUAAAUUAAUUGAAAUUUAUCCAUAUUAUUAUUGGUUCGAGACCAAAACGCCGAGCGUAAUCAAACACUGAAAAUUUUGAAGCUGAUUAAUACAUAACCAAAAACAACAUCUUUAAUCUGCUAUCGAAACUCAGUGCGUUUGCACUCGUUCGACGUAAC
Topomyia yanbarensis is the source of this 2083-nucleotide RNA transcript. RefSeq lists it as uncharacterized. The transcript is spliced from 2 exons. Lineage: Eukaryota; Metazoa; Arthropoda; Insecta; Diptera; Culicidae. The record is from RefSeq and is a predicted model, not a curated record.